GGGGGGUGCGUUGAUCGGGAUUUUGGGCGUAAGGGCUCGCAGGCGGUUUCUUAAGUCUGAUGUGAAAGCCCCCGGCUCAACCGGGGAGGGUCAUUGGAAACUGGGGAACUUGAGUGCAGAAGAGGAGAGUGGAAUUCCACGUGUAGCGGUGAAAUGCGUAGAGAUGUGGAGGAACACCAGUGGCGAAGGCGACUCUCUGGUCUGUAACUGACGCUGAGGAGCGAAAGCGUGGGGAGCGAACAGGAUUAGAUACCCUGGUAGUCCACGCCGUAAACGAUGAGUGCUAAGUGUUAGGGGGUUUCCGCCCCUUAGUGCUGCAGCUAACGCAUUAAGCACUCCGCCUGGGGAGUACGGUCGCAAGACUGAAACUCAAAGGAAUUGACGGGGGCCCGCACAAGCGGUGGAGCAUGUGGUUUAAUUCGAAGCAACGCGAAGAACCUUACCAGGUCUUGACAUCCUCUGACAAUCCUAGAGAUAGGACGUCCCCUUCGGGGGCAGAGUGACAGGUGGUGCAUGGUUGUCGUCAGCUCGUGUCGUGAGAUGUUGGGUUAAGUCCCGCAACGAGCGCAACCCUUGAUCUUAGUUGCCAGCAUUCAGUUGGGCACUCUAAGGUGACUGCCGGUGACAAACCGGAGGAAGGUGGGGGAUGACGUCAAAUCAUCAUGCCCCUUAUGACCUGGGCUACACACGUGCUACAAUGGACAGAACAAAGGGCAGCGAAACCGCGAGGUUAAGCCAAUCCCACAAAUCUGUUCUCAGUUCGGAUCGCAGUCUGCAACUCGACUGCGUGAAGCUGGAAUCGCUAGUAAUCGCGGAUCAGCAUGCCGCGGGUGAAUACGUUCCCGGGCCUUGUACACACCGCCCGUCACACCACGGAGAGUUUGUAACACCCGAAGUCGGUGAGGUAACCUUUUAGGAGCCAGCCGCCGAAAGUGGGACAGAUGAUUGGGGUGAACUAGAAAAAAACCCCCUCGACAAGAAUAAAGGGGGACGGGGGGGGGGGAGAAU
This 1008-nucleotide ribosomal RNA is filed under the name Bacillus subtilis. RNAcentral describes it as "bacterial SSU rRNA". It matches the Rfam family "Bacterial small subunit ribosomal RNA", at positions 531 to 1522 of the family's 1533-position model. Lineage: Bacteria; Bacillati; Bacillota; Bacilli; Caryophanales; Bacillaceae. The record is from RNAcentral.